GUUGGUCCCUUCCUGUAACAUACCCAAGCCUAUAAACCUGAGAACUAAAUUUAAUUUAAAUGCAUCAUGUGGUUGUGGAGUGAUUUUAAUUGUUUUUGGAUCUUAAUCAUCUCAUCAUCACAUGCAUCUUGAUAGGCCUAGAGUCACAAAAACAAUUAAUCUGGUAAUUAUAUGCAUCCAAAAAUUCCACAAAAAUUCUCAAAAAUACCUUGAUAUGUCAGAAAUCAACCCACAAAUUUUCAGAGUUUUUCAGUAAGGUUUGCUAACUUGUUGAUCUACUUUAAUCUCUCCAAAAUCCUGAAAAAAAAAACUGCUUAGCAGAUUCAAACUUGCUCUCUCUGUAAAAUUUAUUUCAAAACCUCUUUUUGAAGUUUGGUUUCAGCCAAAGUCUUCUACUAACUUUCUUCUAACACCCUGAGGAGUGGCAUACCCUGGAUCACUCUCUAACCCUUUCUUCUCUCCCUCCAAAAAUCCAAUCAGCUGCUAACUGCACUGUCAACUGCUGCUAACCAACACUGUCAACACAUGUUCAUCACUCCAUCAAACCUAAACCAGAGACUUCUAACCCAACCCACUUCAGCACAUUUACUCUCCACAUCACCCCUGACCAAGAGGAUAUCUAGCCAGAUUUCUUGCUGCUCAAAAUCCACCUUGAAUCCCCUCCAAAGAUCCUUGGCAGGUAACCCUCAUUGACUUAGCCUCCAAGGCUAUUUUCGAAUUUCUUUCACUGACAGUGGGCCCCACAACCCCCGGGACCCACAUGACAGCCUCCCACUCUCCCCUCACAGCAUCCACCGUUCCUCAUGCCCAAUAAAUGCCCAAGGAACACAAUGAGUGCACCAGCCACCUCUCUCUCUCUCACUCCCCCACUCCACUCUUCCUUAUUUCCCAAGCCAAAGCACCAGAAGCAACAGCUCGCUCCCCACAUCGCGUUCCAAGUCCAAGAAAACACACCCCACGCACAGAAUGCCCAGAGCUCGGCCAUCUUCCCCGGCUCCGGCGACUUAGCCGUCGUCGCCGUGCAUCCCCGGACCAAUCUGUCGAGCACGUGGUGGGCGUCACCGUCCUCGCCGCCGGCCACCCGAACCGCCGACGCCGCUCCGGCCGCCGUUCCUCACCACCGAAGCAACACCAAGCUCCGGUGAGUUUCCGCCGGAUUCCUCGCGCAUGCACCCUCUGUGGCUCAUCUCUAACACCCCCGUACUCUCGAAGUUACAGUUCGCGCCUUGAGUCGACCCGGCGACGUCGACGCCGGAGUUUUGCCGCCGUUGGCCAUCAACCACCGUCUCCGCCGCUCCCUGGACCUCGCUGCCUCCGUUUCUCUGCUUGAGGAAGAAUACGUCGAAGAAGAAGAGGGUGAGUUUGUUGACGACCAGGCUCAGGAGUUUGCAGACGAAGGAAAGUUUGCCCCUCCUUUGACCACAUUGAUCCUAUGUUCUAUUGGGCUAAAUGAUUCUAUUGCAAACAUGCAUACGUUAGCUAGUAUUAAUUUUGGUAAAAAAAAUAUUAUAUAAAUGUGGGAAUGGUAGAUAUGACCUAAUUGCUGCAUAAUCCACCUUGAAAUA
Oryza sativa Japonica Group (Japanese rice) is the source of this 1565-nucleotide non-coding RNA. NCBI's taxonomy places the organism in Eukaryota, Viridiplantae, Streptophyta, Magnoliopsida, Poales, Poaceae. The record is from RefSeq and is a predicted model, not a curated record.